Molecule: transfer RNA, 90 nt
Filed under: Westerdykella ornata
Lineage: Eukaryota; Fungi; Ascomycota; Dothideomycetes; Pleosporales; Sporormiaceae
Rfam family: tRNA
About the family: Transfer RNA (tRNA) molecules are approximately 80 nucleotides in length. Their secondary structure includes four short double-helical elements and three loops (D, anti-codon, and T loops).
Source: Rfam by way of RNAcentral
GCGAGAGUAGUCUAGUGGUCAUGAUGUCUGCUUUACAUUUACUCAAAUGUUGAGCGCAGAAGGUCGGGAGUUCGAUCCUCCCCUCUCGUA